AACGAACGCUGGCGGCAGGCUUAACACAUGCAAGUCGAACGCGUGCAGCAAUGCACGAGUGGCGCACGGGUGAGUAACGAGUGGAUAUCUGCCUUUUGGUUCGGAAUAACCCCGGGAAACUGGGGCUAAUACCGGAUGGUUCCUACGGGAUAAAGAUUUAUCGCCAAAAGAUGAGUCCGCGUCCGAUUAGCUAGUUGGUGAGGUAAUGGCUCACCAAGGCGACGAUCGGUAGCUGGUCUGAGAGGACGAUCAGCCACACUGGGACUGAGACACGGCCCAGACUCCUACGGGAGGCAGUAGUGGGGAAUAUUGGACAAUGGGGGCAACCCUGAUCCAGCCAUGCCGCGUGAGUGAUGAAGGCCUUCGGGUUGUAAAGCUCUUUUGGCGGGGACGAUGAUGACGGUACCCGCAGAAUAAGCCCCGGCUAACUUCGUG
This 435-nucleotide ribosomal RNA is filed under the name uncultured bacterium. RNAcentral's name for it is "partial 16S ribosomal RNA". It matches the Rfam family "Bacterial small subunit ribosomal RNA", at positions 29 to 507 of the family's 1533-position model. The record is from RNAcentral.